RNAcentral lists this unclassified non-coding RNA (182 nucleotides) under Paraglomerales sp. RNAcentral's name for it is "partial contains 5.8S ribosomal RNA and internal transcribed spacer 2". The stretch from base 1 to 65 matches the Rfam family "5.8S ribosomal RNA", at positions 84 to 154 of the family's 154-position model. Lineage: Eukaryota; Fungi; Glomeromycota; Glomeromycetes; Paraglomerales. The record is from RNAcentral.
GUGAAUCAUCAAAUUUUUGAACGCAAAUUGCGCCUUUUUCGGAAGGCAUGUCUGUUUGAGGGCACCAUUUAACAAAUAAUGUGCAUUUCGUGUGCACACGCUGAUGAGCUUUCCAAAUUUAUGUAUUAUUUUUGGUGCGCAUUAUAAAAAGCGGGGAGGUUUUUUUUAGUUCGGGGGUAAUA